CAGAUUUGGCAUUAUUUUCAUAAUAACAUGUACGACUGAAAAAUAUGAAAGAUAUGCAAUGGUUCAUUUUCCAUUUUUCAGAAGAUCAAAAUUUUCAUCAAAAAUAGAAAUCAUAUGUAUGACAAGCAGUGAUGAUAGUUUUUUAAAAAUUAUUUAAGUAGAUGACUAUCAUACAUAAUUGUCUUUUUCAUUUCUUCAAGAAUUCUAUUAAUCCUAUUUUGCUUAUGGUGUCCUUGGUGCUGAAAUCAUUGGAUUUAAUAUUAUUUUCUGUAUAACCUUUAUCAGGAUUUUGGU
This 294-nucleotide long non-coding RNA is filed under the name Phoenix dactylifera (date palm). RNAcentral's name for it is "long non-coding RNA (PDAC_LNC007239)". The record is from RNAcentral. Lineage: Eukaryota; Viridiplantae; Streptophyta; Magnoliopsida; Arecales; Arecaceae.